UAUAGCCACAGCUACUCCCUGUGCCUCUCUGAGCCACAGACAUUUCAGCCUAGGUGCCUAGAUAAAGGGCAUAAGCCCCUACAUUCUCUACCUGGCCAAGUGCUGAUUUAAUCCUUAGGCAGCAUCUCACUCACCAACUUGAAAUCAGGCAGUGAUAUAGCAUAUGAAUAAGGCCAUCAUUGCUCUUUCCGGCUUUUGUAGCAGGGGCACCGUAGGGGUGGCUUGUGUGAGAAGAUGUCAGAAGCUAUACCCGUGUCUGACAGGGCCAGUUCCAUCCAGCUCCAAGAAGGAAUCACCACUGGGCAAAGCUGAACUCAUCAGGAAUGGUAGCACUUCUAUGACAACAUGUUGAAGAAGGAGUAAAAAACACUGCACAAAGCAGCUGAGGAAGAGAAGAUGUCAGUGAAACCCCCAUGCAGACACCAAGGCCAGUGAAAAAGAAGGGGGAGCAGAGCACUAGAGCAGAGAUUCCCUGGCAGACCAUGGUGAGGCCGACUGUUCGCCCGCAGCCCAUGGAGCUCCACAGCGGAGCAGAGACCCACCUGCAGCCUGUGGAGGACCCCAUGAGAAAGCAGAUGGCUGUGACCCUGUAGGAGAGUUCAUGAAGAACUCUCCCAUGGGAGGGAUUCUCAUGGAGAAGUUCAUGAAGGACUGUUUCCUUUUGGUGGGACCCUAUGCUGGAGCAGGGGAAAAGAAUGAGGAGGAAGGAGUGGCAGGAUCAACUUUGUGAUGAACCGAGCACAACCCUCAUUCCUCAUCCCACUGUGCCACUCAGGAGGAGGAGGAAGAGAUGUCAGGAGUGAAAUUGAGCCCAGGAAGGAAGACCUUUGUUCUUAUUUCUCAUUAUCCUAGUCUGAUUUUCACUGGCAACAAAUUAAUUUCCCCAAGUGGAGUCUGUUUUGCCAGCAAAGGUAAUUAGUAAGUGAUCUCCCUGUCCUUACUUUGACCUACAAGUUUUUCAUUGUAUUUUUCUCCCUGUGUGUUGCUGAUGGAAGGGGAGUGAUACAGUGACUUGGUGGGCACCUGGCAUCUAGCCAGGGUCAAUCUACCACACUCACUCUCUGCUUCUCUAUUAAUUUGGUAUUCCUUCCUGCCUGGUCCUAAUGCAUCAAGAUGAGAGAAGAGUACAGCCUUCUUUUGGUCAGCGUAGGCCACUGAUUGAGGAAUUUUUUUAUUAUAGCAGAAAUCUGAACAUACUAGGGAAAAACAAAAUUAUUGAAUUAUAGCCAGUUCCAGGGCAUUGGCAAUAACUACCAACCUGAAGGGGAAAAAAAAAAUCCUGAAAGUUACAUAAAACUAUGAUUUUUUAAAAUUGUUUUAUUUAUUUGAAUGAUCCUGGCUAUCUUUCUCAGUCAGAAGUGGAGGCAAGAGAUAGAUUAAAAUAUAUGUUUAUCAGAUUGAGUCUUGCUGGUACCACAGAAAAUUUAUGAGGCAUGUUAGCAUCCUAAUGUCAGUGAAGCUGAAGUAGACACAUUGGUACUAGGGGAAUGAAACAGCUUUGCUCAAAAUUUAAUUUAUGUAGAGCCUUUGCAGUUCUCAGGACUGGGUGCUUCAGGAUCAUAGUUCUGAAUACAGAGUGUCUAAAUUAAGUAAUAUCCUCUUCAAGCAUGUAAUGUUUCAUCUAAAUUAGCCCUGAGGCUUAUAACAUCUAUGAUAUAAUAACUGUAAACUGCAAUUGUUUUAUUUUUCAUUUUACAGCCACAAAUCCUAAUCCUAACUCAAGGACAAAGUAGAACUGUGAGAGAUUUUCUUCCUAUAGGAACAGACUGAUUAGACCUAGUGAGAAAAACUGACACAGGAAGGUGAGGUUAGUUUUGUGAGCUUUAAUGCCGCAGGAGACGGAAAUCUGCAUUAUAACAUUUUGAGUGAUUUGCUAGCUUUGUAGAAUUUGUUUAGCCAUUAUCUAACACCCCAAAGAUAUAUUCUUUAACAGUUUUAUAGUUUGUUGACAUUGAAAUGGUCAGGAAAGUUAAUGCAAGCCCAUUAAAGCCUAAUUCAAUGUAUAUAAGUUAAAAUAUAUAAUAGUCCUUGUAUUUGUAAUUAUUCAGGAUCAAAGCAUUAUUUAGUCCUACAGAGAUAUUUUGAUUAUUAAAUGCAAGUGUAAUAAAUAUACUUACAUAGAUUCAUCUUGCACUGUAAAGUUUUUUCUGAAUGUCUUGACGUAGACAAACCAAUAGUUGCCUUGUGCAUAUGGCCAUCAUUUCUCUAAUACAGUAGGAUUCAAAUUAAACUAGCAUUUCAAAAUUUAGCCAAAUAAAAAUAUACCAUUCAUUAAUUAAAUGAACUGUUUAUAAACUGAAAAACAAGAGACUACUCUUUUUCUCUCUAGUGCUUUCUGUACAAUACCUUGUACUCUCGUUCUCUCUUUCAGCUUCUCUUGGUUUUAGAUUUCGGAGAACUUUCCCCUUUCAGCCAAAAAAUUAAUUUCACCAAUGUAACAUCAGCAAGCCACUAGAUAUAUGCCAGUAUUAAGUGACUUUGCAUGUUUAUGUACAAGAAAGCAAAAAUUUAAAUCUAGUUAAUAAUUAAAGCACACUUAACAUUUAUUGACUUUAUCAUCAUUCAUAAUCAUAUCAUCUUUCAUGUAUCGAGAAAUAUUUUAAGAGAUUAGGAUGACUGCAUUAUAAUAUGUCACUCAAGAAAGUGCAGUGGACAGCCACUGCAUUCAGCAGAAAUCUACUUUACAGGAUAUAUACAUACCACCUUUAAUUAAUCUCUAGUGGAAACAUGAAAAAAAAUCUUCAGGUCCUGAUUUUUGUUGCCAGAAAUUUUGCUGUUGUUUUAGAUAUCAUUAAUCAGGUUUUUUCCUUGCAUACACAACUAAUUUCUAAUUUUUUGUUCUCCCUUUCUCCAGUGUUUGAAGUACUUCAGGACAGAGAAUUAUUUUUGCUCAAUAGUGUUACUAUGGAUGUCUGCAAUCUUGAUUUAAGGAGCAGAUGGAACAUAGUGAAAGUGUCUGCCCUACGGUUCACCAUGUGAAGUGACAUCCUGAACCAACACUAAGUCAUACAGGACACUCAGGGCUGGGAAAGCAGUCCCAAGUGUAUUUUGAGGAUUGAUGUCUUGUGUGUACAGCAGAAACACUGCUACAAAAGCAGUUGUGUUCUGCCACAAAAGCCUAUGUAAUAUACGAGGCUGGUUGGCAUGAAGAUCACGCAGAAGUGCAGCUGAGAAGCUGGAGAAAGACAGCAUACCAAGCUCACUUAAUCCCUUUCAGAAAUUUUUACAGUACUUAGCUUCAUUUGGGUCCAAAUUAAGACAAUCAAGGGAAUGAAUGGAAGAAAAAUAACAUUAAAAUACCCAUUAAUAGUACUACAAAAUGCCUCUAGUAUUUUCCACUGUCUUGAAAACCUACUGUUCUACCUAAAAAUAUAAAUACCAGAAACAAUGUAAUAGCUUCCAUUGUCAACAAUGUAGUUGUUUUUUAUGUUUAAAUACUUUUGUCUGAAAGUGCUAAAUACUCUUCUCAGAGUCCUCCAAUUCUAGACUUCUGAUAUUCUGAUUCCCUAAAACUCUAUUUCGGUUCUUUCUGCAUCAUACUCAGCUUUGGUUUAGAUCAGAAGAGAAAUGGCAGUACCAUGCAGCCCAAAAUACAACAGGGGUUACAACUUUUGGGAAAUCUUCCUCUGUUUGAAAAACCAAGAGAAAAAUAUUUAACCACCAAAAGAUAUCUUCUCUUUAGAUUUUAUAAUCCACUUUUCUCUUGCCUGGACCAAAGUAUGAUUGUGGGAUGUGAGCAGAAAGUAUCACCUAGGAGCAGAUUUAAUUGUGGUGACUCUACCAGUGCAGUUGACUCAUUUUCCUUCCCUCAGUCUCCCUAGCAUCCCCCCACCACUUUCACUGUAAGCAGUGUUUUGCAAAGACUUUGAUGGCAAAGGCCGCUCUGAUACAGCUGGUGAUGUUGAGAGGAAGAUGCUGAGGCUUCUUUGCCUUCUGAUAAAUUCCAAUAGCUAAGACAGUUGUUUAUAACGUUGUCAUCUUCAAAUGACUGCCUAUUCUUCCUCCAAAUUGAGUUUUCCUUAUUGUUUUGCUAUUCUGUGACCAACAAAGAUUUGAACCAUAGAAGUAGGAGAGAGCUGGCUCAGGUGUUACCCCUGUGGGCUAAGUACCAGGUGUCUACAAAGGGCUGUGUCCCAGUCUUUGAUAUGUAAGAUACUGCAAGCCUUUCAUCUGAAACAUGCAAUGAGAGCACUUGGUCGUUGGAUUUUAGUUUGCUGUCUAAAUUAACAAUAAAGUCCUGUUUUAUUAUGC
This is a long non-coding RNA of Columba livia (rock pigeon), 4251 nucleotides long. RefSeq lists it as uncharacterized. The transcript has 3 exons. Lineage: Eukaryota; Metazoa; Chordata; Aves; Columbiformes; Columbidae. The record is from RefSeq and is a predicted model, not a curated record.